Molecule: small RNA, 28 nt
Filed under: Bombyx mori (domestic silkworm)
Lineage: Eukaryota; Metazoa; Arthropoda; Insecta; Lepidoptera; Bombycidae
Description: piRNA piR-bmo-1559321
Source: RNAcentral
UUUACGUCGUAGAUGUCUAUGGGCUCUA